CAGAUACUCCCUUCGUCCGAAAUUACUAGUUGGAUAAAUAGAUGUAUCUAACGUAUUUUAACUCUGGAUACAUCCAUUUUUAUCUAUUUCUACAACAAAUAAUUCCGGAUGGAGGGAGUACAAU
Molecule: non-coding RNA, 124 nt
Organism: Triticum aestivum (bread wheat)
Lineage: Eukaryota; Viridiplantae; Streptophyta; Magnoliopsida; Poales; Poaceae
Source: Rfam